UAGCUUCUUCUCCUUUAUUCCUCGCCAACGUUUCGGAGCAUGGUGGGAAAAGGAUGUCAGGGAAAUGGUUCACUACUAUUUCGUCCAUUUGUGAAAAAGUAGUAGUGAACGAUUUCUCUGACACUCUUUCCCCACCAAGCUCCGAAACGUUGGCGAGGAAUAAAGGAGGAGAAGCGAA
This 178-nucleotide microRNA precursor is filed under the name Phlebotomus papatasi. RNAcentral describes it as "microRNA MIR158". The record is from RNAcentral. Lineage: Eukaryota; Metazoa; Arthropoda; Insecta; Diptera; Psychodidae.